UGUGUCUAGACAUGUAGUUUUUCAUGAAACUUACUUCCCAUUUAAAACCCCUAAUACAUUUGCACCUGAACCUGAAAACACAACUCCCAUGGCCUGUCCCACCUAUGAUGAUCCACCUAUCCAACCUAUUUCCUCUUCCAUAACUCAUGACAGGAUUUCACCUCAAUCCCAAAUACAGCCUGCUGUUGAUACACCUCAGCAGUUG
This 205-nucleotide long non-coding RNA is filed under the name Lathyrus oleraceus (garden pea). RNAcentral describes it as "Pisum sativum (pea) long non-coding RNA (PSAT_LNC014260)". Lineage: Eukaryota; Viridiplantae; Streptophyta; Magnoliopsida; Fabales; Fabaceae. The record is from RNAcentral.